This 2411-nucleotide unclassified non-coding RNA is filed under the name Hevea brasiliensis (rubber tree). The record is from RNAcentral. Lineage: Eukaryota; Viridiplantae; Streptophyta; Magnoliopsida; Malpighiales; Euphorbiaceae.
GCGCGACUCGCCGUGCCAGAGAGAGAAUAGGUUGGAUAAUGAAAACAUCUGCAGAGGGAAAAAGUAGAACAAGGAGAAGAAGAUGAGAGUUGCAGUGAGGACUGAGGAGGCUCUUUUCCCUCUGUUCCAGGCAGCCUUAGUGGAGACCCAACCGGACUACUUCAGCAAUCGAGUCGCGGAAUCCGAUCAACGGCUGUGAUUUCUUCCAUCUUCCUCAUAGAGGUUUGAGUUAUCCUCUUCUCAUCCUAAAUUUAUGGUUUUCUUUUCCAUUUUAUAACGUAUAAGGAUAAUCCGAUGUUAUCGGGCUGCAUUCUAGAUUCAGUUGUGUGCUAAUGAAAUUGGUGAUCGAUCUCAUUUGCUUAAUUACUAACCACUAAUUACUCUGAAGAGAUGUCUCUGUUCUGUUCUUAGUUUUCUAGAGUAUUCUGGCAUAAUAAACUUUGGGAAUUUGAUGGUCCUUCUCAUGUAUUGGAGAUUCAAAUGGGGAUUUAAGGACUUCUCUAUUUUAAUUUACAGCUACACUUGAAAGUCCAUAACUAAUCAUUUCUCAAUCUAGUAUUUGGAAAGAAGAGAGAGAAAAAGAGUGUUGGACUUUUCAAAAUGUUACACGCAACAAUUGGAAUAUUUCAAUUUCCCCUUUUGUUUGAGAUAUAUUCAAGAGGAGAGUUAAAAUACUUAUCAAAGCACUUGAAAUGCUACAAUAUAGUCAUAGCCCUCAUAAUUUGGUAUUAGCAAACGAAAAAUUAGAAAGGUUAUGUUCAAUAUUACACAAACGACGGCCAAGAUAUUGUGGAUGCUAUUCAGUACUCAGCAUAAUUAAUUUUCUUGUUUGGUCAUUCUCAACUAGUUGUUUUGCAUCAUGUUUCUAAUCAUAAAGCUAAGGAACUUGGAAGGAAAAUGACAGCAUUUCCUUAUGGUGAAAUAGAUAUGUUAAGGAAAAUGACAUUAUGCUGCAAAUUGAGACAACAUAUUGGUGAUGGGACCCAUAAAUCUAAUAUUCGGGUUUUAAGUUCUCGUUGGAAAAUUAUCGGUCAUGACAUUAAGUAUAGGUUAUUGUGUUUAACUGUUAAUUUUUUAUAGUUGACUCACUGAGUGUCAUUUGAUUUAUUGGAAAACAUGACUGGGGUCUUCAUUGUUGCGGGGUCUUGGCAACAACUUUUCUAGCUUCUUGGACUUAUCACGUGAGAUGACAUGCAGUAAUUUCAUGGCUCAGGUUAGUAGAUCUUAAUUGUGAAGCUUAUUGUUGGAACAUGUGAAAGUUUAAUGUGGUUUGCUUGCAACGUGCUUUGAUUUCUUGAAGCCAUCAAUCUCAUAUAAAGUCUAGAAACUUGAGAUUGAUUUCUUUUAAUAUUAAGACUGUGCAUUGGAGUAGUUUAUAAGCUGUUGACUGAGAACCAUUUAAUUAGUUGGAGUGUCAUCAGCUAUUUUGUGUUGUAAAUGAUUGGAAAAAAAAAAUUUCUAGAAAAAUAAUGUUUCUAUCCUAGAUGGAAGAUGUGCUUUGUUAUGCAUAUUUUUCUUGAAGUGAUGAAAAUACAAGACACCGAUUUCUUUGAUUUGAAGCCAUUUCAGAUUAUCUUAGGUCUGCUACAUCUCCCACUUAAACUUUUCUUUUUUGCUGUUCCAUUAAAUUUGCUUACAGCCUCUUAUGUAUCCUUUUCUAAUCAUGGCCUUAAUAUUUGUUUUAACUUUUGCAGCAAGAAAGGACUUUCAUCCAAAUGAGGACAGUUCUCAAAGUUGUGGACAAUUCAGAUACAAAGAACGUUAUGUGCAUUCAAGCUCUAAAGGGGGAAAAGGUCAAGAUUGGGGGGCACAGUAAUAGCUUCGGCAAAGGAAGCUAUGCUAAAUGAAAAGGUGAAGAAAGGACAGGUUGUAUAGGUGCAGUUGUGCGUGCUGCUAUGCAGUGGAGCCACUGUGAUGGUAAUGAGGUGAAGUUUGAUGAUAACCCUGCUGCACUGGUUGAUAAGCAAGGUCAGCUAAUUGGGCUAGAGUGUUUUGGCCAGUUCUACUUGAGAUAAGAAAGAAAAAGCGCGUCAAGAUCCUUAUCUGGCAGACUAUACUGUGAAAAAUUUUGAAAUUUGUGAUCUUUGCUGUGCUAGGGAUAUCCUAUUUUUUGUUCAGGGAGAACUCUGAAGGAAAGAAACAAAAGGCAGUAAGUAGGCUUUGGUUGGAGAGCUAAAGACAUUUCGUUUAGUUACAGAUGCUGCAGGUGGCUUAAUGCUAAGUAUUGGCGUCUGGUCUUUUCCGGACCAUUAAAAUGGAAUUUGAGAGUAAUUUAUUUUAGAUUACUGUAUUACUUUGUCGGUCUUUUUGAUCUUCAUUGAAAAGAUUUGAUGUCUGACUCAAUGCCAGGAUUCAAAAACUCAAGUCUUAACCGGUGCGUGAAUUAUAAGAUUUUUUGUAAUACGUGUUAG